This is a non-coding RNA of Capra hircus (goat), 449 nucleotides long. NCBI's taxonomy places the organism in Eukaryota, Metazoa, Chordata, Mammalia, Artiodactyla, Bovidae. The record is from the annotation of a RefSeq genome assembly.
CUUACCACUGACUUGGGGCAUCCAGCCACCAGGUCCCCACUUUCCUGCCUUCACUUUGAGCACACAGCCCAGCGGACAGGAUGUCACCACUGGAAGCGUUCACAUUUUUCUCCUUCUGGGCUUCUGGACUUGGGUUAUCAAAAGUGGAGCAGGCCCAGAUAUCUCUUUCCACAGAAGUAAAGAAAAGUAUUGACAUACAUUGCAAGAUAGAGAGCACAAAUUUUGAAUCAGAAACUGUUUACUGGUACCGGCAGAAAAGGAAUCAGGCUUUGGAGCAUCUGGUUUAUGUGAUCUCAACCACAACUGCAGCUCGAAAUCAAGUAGACGGGAAGAACAAAAUUGAGGCAAGAAAAGACGCUCGAAUGUUCACUUCGACCCUUACGGUAAAUUUUGUAGAAAAAGAUGAUGUGGGCAUUUACUACUGUGCUGGUUGGAGCUCACGGCACUAG